UAUGGUGAUUUUAGCGUUGGUGUCCACCUCUUCCCAUUCCGAACAGAGAAGUUAAGCCCAACUGCGCAGAUGGUACUAGUAUUUCUGGGAGAGUAUGUCGUUGCCGUAA
RNAcentral lists this ribosomal RNA (109 nucleotides) under Bacteroidota bacterium. The record is from RNAcentral. Lineage: Bacteria; Pseudomonadati; Bacteroidota.